This 644-nucleotide ribosomal RNA is filed under the name Vibrio parahaemolyticus. RNAcentral's name for it is "partial 23S ribosomal RNA". It matches the Rfam family "Bacterial large subunit ribosomal RNA", at positions 2284 to 2925 of the family's 2925-position model. The record is from RNAcentral. Lineage: Bacteria; Pseudomonadati; Pseudomonadota; Gammaproteobacteria; Vibrionales; Vibrionaceae.
CUCCUCCCAAAGAGUAACGGAGGAGCACGAAGGUGGGCUAAUCACGGUUGGACAUCGUGAGGUUAGUGCAAUGGCAUAAGCCCGCUUGACUGCGAGAAUGACAAUUCGAGCAGGUGCGAAAGCAGGUCAUAGUGAUCCGGUGGUUCUGAAUGGAAGGGCCAUCGCUCAACGGAUAAAAGGUACUCCGGGGAUAACAGGCUGAUACCGCCCAAGAGUUCAUAUCGACGGCGGUGUUUGGCACCUCGAUGUCGGCUCAUCACAUCCUGGGGCUGAAGUCGGUCCCAAGGGUAUGGCUGUUCGCCAUUUAAAGUGGUACGCGAGCUGGGUUUAGAACGUCGUGAGACAGUUCGGUCCCUAUCUGCCGUGGGCGUUGGAAGAUUGAAGGGGGCUGCUCCUAGUACGAGAGGACCGGAGUGGACGAACCUCUGGUGUUCGGGUUGUGUCGCCAGACGCAUUGCCCGGUAGCUAAGUUCGGAAUCGAUAACCGCUGAAAGCAUCUAAGCGGGAAGCGAGCCCUGAGAUGAGUCUUCCCUGAUACUUUAAGUAUCCUAAAGGGUUGUCGGAGACUACGACGUUGAUAGGUCAGGUGUGUAAGUGCUGUGAGGCAUUGAGCUAACUGAUACUAAUUGCCCGUGAGGCUUAAC